CUGCAGGCAGGGGCAGUGCGCAGAGCUGCCUGGUUGCCCGUGAGCUUAGGAGCUGGACAUGCUGGCCCCUUCCGGGAGCCUCCCAAGGUCAUUUCUAAUCCCGUGAACCAUUGACCAGCCAUGCUUUGAGGCAAAGAACUCCAAUCUUGGGGUGAAGGAUCUUCCCACGUUCCUGAGAGAGAAGAUGAGGAGCUACCUGAAGAGUGAUUGUAGGACUUUGGAUAUUAGAGGAGUUGAAGGGAACGCAUACAGUAGACCUGAUGACCACUGAAGGUGAAAGGCAUCCCCCAAGGAUCAGUGGUUCAGCCUGCCUCCAGAGCAGAACUGCCGGAAUAGUGAUGAAGUAUGAUGAGGUCUAUCUCCCACUCAUGGUCUCGAAAGAAGUGCCUGCUGAGUGUGUCUGCCAUCACAUUCUGAACUCCUGGGAGGGGGUCCAGGUGGAUUUUUGAAUGAUCAGUUGCAGGCCCAAUUUGAGAUAGAGGUCUAUGGCUUUGCAAGUUGCCCAUGAAGUUGACCUUUCAGAAGCCAACUGUCUAGGUAAGGGAGCACCAGUAUUCCUUUUCUGCGGAGCUGUGCCACUGCUACUGACACGACCUUUGAGAAGAUCCUUGGAGCAGAUGACAGGCCAAAAGGGCACUCCCUGUACUGAAAAUGGGCCUGAGAGUAAAACAUAGGAAUCUUUUUUGUGUGACGGGUGGAUUGCUAUAUGGAAAUAGGCAUCCUGAAGGUCAAGGGCUGUGAAUCAGUCCCCUUGGUCCAAUGAUGGAAUUAUUGCUGCAAGUGCCACCACUUUGAAUUUUUGUGCCUUCACAAAGGUGUCACAGGAGGGGUCUCCAACUGCCACUUUUUUUUCUGGAACCAGGAAAUAUCUGGAAUAAAACUCCUUCCCUCUGUGCUGCAUGGGAACUGGUUCUAUAGCAUCCAGGAGUAGAAGAGAGUCUAUUUCCUGUUGUAGCAGAUUCUCAUGGGAGGAAUCUCUGAAGAGGGACAGGGAAGCAGGGUUGUCAGGUAGAAGAGAAGUGAAGUGGAUGGAGUACCCUAUGGAGAUGAUUUCCAAAACCCACUUGUCCAUAGUGGUGGACUUCCAAGCCUGCCAGAAGUGAUAAAGGUGGUUGUCGAAGGGAGGAAGGCAGGUGAAACGUUGCAGAUAGUAUUGAAAGUUUUUGGCAGCUCAGAACCUGGAUCAUGCCAUCUAAAUUGGUGCUUCAAGAUGGAGGUUGUGAGGUUGAGGGUUGGGAGGUGGGUGGUUUUCUCAUCAGGAACCUCUGUCCCAUGCAUUGAGGUUCAUAUGACCUGUGCAAACUUGAGAAUUGGGUGGGCUGGGAUCUCUGUGCUGUCUGAGUCCUGCUAAACUUUCUCUUUUGUGUAGAUGUAUAGAUCUCCAGAGAACAUGAAGUGGCCCUGGAGCCCUUUAACAUGUCAGAGAUUCACCAGUGCUGUCAGCAAGCAGUUUAGUGACAUCAAAAGGCAGGUCUUCAGUCAUGUUCUGGACCUCCUUUGGAAAUUCUGAGAGCUGAAGCCAGGAGGCCCUGCUCAUGCCUUCUGCUGUAGAAAUCUAAUGAGUGGCAGUAUCAGUAGUAUCGAGAGAAGCCUGCAGAGAAGUUCUGGCAAGCAGUUGGCCUUCUGCAAUAAUUGCCUGGAAUUGCUUUGUGUUCUGCUGGUACAUGUUCAGUAAGGAAGUUCAGCUCAGCAUAAUUGGUGUGGUUGUACUUUGCCAUUAAUGUCUAGUAGCUGGUUAUUCUGAAUUGUAAAGUAACUGACAAAUAUGAUUUUUUUUCAUAGGUUGUAUAUCAUGAGUCAGCGACCUUUCAGAAGUGGUGUGACGAGUCUUCAUUUAUUCACUCUGAUUUAAGGU
Gopherus evgoodei (Goodes thornscrub tortoise) is the source of this 1855-nucleotide long non-coding RNA. RefSeq lists it as uncharacterized. NCBI's taxonomy places the organism in Eukaryota, Metazoa, Chordata, Testudines, Testudinidae. The record is from RefSeq and is a predicted model, not a curated record. The transcript is spliced from 4 exons.